GAGUUUGAUCAUGGUUCAGGACGAACGCUGGCGGCGUGCCUAAUACAUGCAAGUCGAGCGGACCUUUCGGGGUCAGCGGCGGACGGGUGAGUAACACGUGGGCAAUCUGCCCGAUACUCUGGGAUAACGCUUGGAAACGAGUGCUAAUACCGGAUGGUCUUCUUGGCCGCAUGGCCGAGAAGGAAAAGACGCGUUCGCGUCGGUGUCGGAUGAGCCCGCGGCGCAUUAGCUAGUUGGUGAGGUAACGGCCCACCAAGGCGACGAUGCGUAGCCGACCUGAGAGGGUGACCGGCCACACUGGGACUGAGACACGGCCCAGACUCCUACGGGAGGCAGCAGUAGGGAAUCUUCCACAAUGGGCGAAAGCCUGAUGGAGCAACGCCGCGUGAGUGAUGAAGGCCUUCGGGUGUAAAACUACUGUCAUUCGGGACGAGCCGGAGUCUGAGGAAAUGCAGACUCUCUGACGGUACCGGAGGAGGAAGCCCGGCUAACUACGUGCCAGCCG
Molecule: ribosomal RNA, 505 nt
Filed under: uncultured bacterium
Lineage: Bacteria
Description: bacterial SSU rRNA
Rfam family: Bacterial small subunit ribosomal RNA
Source: RNAcentral